AGAUCUUCCAUCUCUAAAAAAUCUUGCAAAGGAGACUUUAUUCAGCUGAAAUGCUCUCUUGCAUGAUGUGCAAAUGAGGAUAAAAUAAAGCCUGAGAACGUGGUCAGGGAGAGUGAGAUGGAAUAAGCAGACCAAAAAAUAUUGAAGCAGAAUGUCAUGCAAGAACUGAAGUACAUCUGGUGAGUAUGCAUGCUAUUGCUCUACCUUAGAAACCAUUAUAAACCAUUUGAGGUGAUCAAAAAAUUGCUGCCCAGGUGCAGCAGUUUAUAUUUUGAAAAUGAAAUAAAUCUAGUGGAUACUGUGGACGAAGAACUUGCAAAAUCUUAUUAGAAAAAUAAAUCUGUUUUGAGUUAGAGGAGUGAAAAAAAUCCUAACAAAUUAUAGGAGUAGAAGUGUUGCAAAACUCAAUACAUUCAUGUUUAUUCAAUAAUCACACACAUGUUCCAUUAAGAAAUGCAGAAAAAAGUGCAAUAAAUAUUGACUUUCACAGCAAAAUGUAGAAGUAUAUGUGCAAAGAAUAAUGAAUCCUUUUCUUGACAGUUUGAGAAAAAUAGAAACUUGAAGCCAUUAACACAGGUUGAAAAAUAAAAAAGUUGUUCUCUUCAUUAGCUAGGGGAAAAUAUUUCAAGUUAGUUUUGUAGAGAUUAUUCAUCUGACUUGAUUCUUUAUAUGCAGAACAAACUGGUUUGUGUUCCAUUGUUUCUUGAAUGUAGGAAAUUGUGGGGUAAGACCUGGCUGGGAGCUCUUUUUGUUUGAGAGCACUGUCAAAGCAUGUCUCCCCAAUUCCCACCCCCACAUCUCAACAAGUGCUUUAGGGGCUUGGGGACUUGGUGGAAAUCAUGCUGUGUUCUAAAUACCUCAUCCUACCACUGGCAAUAUUUCUAUCCAGGAAAAACCAUAUUAAAUGAACCUAAGAGCAAACCUGAGUGGGAAAAAACAUUACAAAAGAAUAUUUUGGAAAUUCUAAUGCUUUAUUGAUCUGAGUGUCACUUGGUACUGUCUUGGAGGGUAACUAGAAGAUGUAUAUUGAAGAACUUUAAAAUGUUUAUGGCUUUUUAUCCAUCAAUUCCUUGAGAACCAAAGAAAAGAAUCAGAGACAUAUGUAUAUAACAACUUUCAUACAAUGGUAUUCAUACAGCACUAUUUGUAUUAGUAAAAACUUGUAAUCGACUCAAAUUUCAGGGCUAAAAUGAUUUAACAAAUUAAAAGAUGACUCAAUACAAACUGUUAUGAAAUCUUUAGAAAUCAUGCUGUAAAGACUAUUUACCUACAAAACUAUUCAUGGCACAUGCAAAAAUCCCAAAUAAUAUAUGUAAUGCCUAUGACUUGAUCUCUCACAUGUUGUGUUAUAUGUGUAUAUGCAACCUGUAUAGAAAAAGAACUGGAAGAAAAAGAAUGUUAAGUGGUAGAAUCAUGCAUGAUUUAAAUGUUUCUGUCUUUGUGCUUUUGUGUAUUUUCAAACAUUUCUACGCUGAUAAUCACUUUUAUAUUCAGAAAGAAAAUACCUAAUAAAUGCUAUUGAAGAAAAAGGCAACCGAAAAGGUGUAUGUGGAAAGUGAAAGGGAAAGGUUUGGCCUUAGUGUUUGGGAGAAGGAGAUCUUUGUUUUCCUGCACCAAUGGGGGGAAUCCACCAUGUCCCUCCCAAGUUCACCUCUUUGGCAGUAGAGCCAAGACUCCCAGUGGAGGAUCUGGGUCAGAAGCUUCAAAAUGUGGAACACUGGUUGGACCUAAAAGGAUAUCCAUUAGUUCAACGGGAAGGAGCUAAUCUCUGGAAGUAACCAAUCUGCUGUGUGAUUCCUUGUGGGACAACUGAGCGGCAGGCUUAACCUCUAACCCCCUGCCGUGUAGAGUUUCCACCAGCCUCCCCGCUGAUUUCUGAAGAGUUCCCAGGGUUAUCAUCAGCUUGGUGGGGCAUAAAGCAAUAAGAGAAAUGGGCCCUGGGUUUCGCAGCGCCAGGAGCAAAUGCGGACACAAUCACUUGCCCUCGACAUUCUAAGAUCAUAUAAUGAUGCUUGGUAAAUUGCUUUGAGAUCCACAGGCAAGUGUGCCAUUCCAUUACCAGUCUUUAAUCGGCAUUUCUACUCACUCAUGUAAGAACCAUUGAAAGCCAUUGAUCCUGAACUUUCUAUAGUCAUCAGCAAGUGAGUCUGGAGAAGUUUAGGUGCCAAGAUCUCAACAAACUGACAGGGUAAGCAACUGUAAUAGGGCAGGCUGAUACAUCCCACGGCAGCCAUUGUUAAUAUGAAGGUGAAAGAAGCUUAUCAAGGAUGUGAUUUUGCUGAGAAAUACUGCUCUAUGAGAAGAAAUUGAAAGAAAUGGGGAUGUCUACUACUGAUUUGGUUACCAUUUUCCUACUUCCCUUUAUUAGAACACACGAGAGAACUGAUUUCUGUCAUCAAGUAGACUAAUUUCUCAGUUUGAAAAAUUUUGGCCAUAAUACUCCACAGAGCAUUCAAGGAUUUGAGCUUUUUGACAAUAGUUAUUAGGAGGAAAUAUUUCAAUGCUGCUUUGUUUGAGGUCCCAUUUGCAUUUGCUUAGAGGUGGUUUGUACUGGGGAUUUCAUUGGCCCUGCCCUGCCCUGUGCAGUGCAAGGGGGGAUGUAGCACAGUUGCACCAUGAGGGAAUGGUGGGAACAGUCUAAGAGAAGUCUGUAUGAUUUUUUGUAAGUGUUGAUUAUUGAUAAAUUUUCACAAGUACUUAUGUACUUUGUCACCAGAAGUAGUAUCAUAACGAUCCAUCUACCCAUCCAUACAUCCAUCCAUCCAUCCAUUCAUUUAUCUUCCUCUUCUAUGCCUUAUGUCAGACAUAACUUCCAAAUCUUUACAAAAUAUGAAAUAAGAUACAAAAAUUGUUAAGGAAUGGGGCGGGGUUGUGGCUCAAUCCCAAGUAAGCCACUUGCCUAGCAUGUGUGAGGCACUGGGUUCGAUUCUCUGCACUGCAUAUAAAAAAAUGAAUAAAAUAAAGGUCCAUCAACAUCUAAAUUUUUUUUAAUUGUUAAGGAAAAUGGGACAAAGACAAAAGAGCCAUAAAGAUUCAAUAAAGUCAAGAAUGGAUUUGAUAGGUCAUAAUUCUUCUGUAUUUUCUCAAAAUGGGCCACAGAUUAUAGUGACCAGUGCACACAGAAGAGGUCAGAGUUAUCAAGUUGUGUCCUACAAAGGCCUAGGCUUCCCAGGGGUAGGCAGGGGCAAGAAAAGCAAGUGAGAACUGGCCAAGGACCUUGCUUCAGAUUCUCUCCACCUUCCUGCUCAGCCACAGGAGUUUUGAUGAGUUUGUUACACAGAAUAGCAUUCUCUGGGGGUAAGAUUUAAAGCUAAAGAUGCAAACUCCAUUAAAAGACAUGUUCAAAACCUGCACCAUUCCCAGUGACUUUACGAGCAAAGUCAAUCCACAUGCAGGUAAACCAUACCCAGCCUUGGUACUAAAAGUGAAGGGAAAUAUCCUCAAAAACACCCUUGGAGAGAAGAGUGGAGGAAAAAUAUAUGCUCCAAAAUGAAGGUGUAAGUAUGUUAUCAGUCCAUCCAUUUCUUAAACAAUUACAGUUUUCCUCAAUGUCUGUGGGUUCCAGGACCCCAGUGGGCACCUAAAUCUGAGAAUGCUCAAGUCCCUUAUAUAGAAUGGCAUUCUAUUUGUAUAUAAUAUGCAUAAAUCCUCCUAUAUAGUUUAAAUCAUCUCCUUAAUACUUAUAAUACCUACAAAAAGGUAAGUCAUAUGUAAAUAGUUAUUGUAUCAUUCAGGGAAUAGUGACAAGAAAAUAAACCUACAUGUUUAGUACAGGCACAAUUUUAAAAUUUUCUAUCAAAGGCUGGUUGAAUUCACUUAUAUGGAGGGCCAACUGUAUUUAUUAUAACCUUCUGGGUCAUUGCUUAUAUCCUCAAUGUGAGAGGUAGAUGGUAUAAUAGCGAAUAUAAAGUAUUUUUUUUUACUUUGAAACGUAUGCUCCUUGAGAUUAGUCAAACAUGAAAAAUUAAACAAUAAUAUAGACAACAAGAUUAGAGGUAUCAAGUUCAGACAUUAAACUUUUCAGCAUUUAAUCAGAAGAGAGAGCAAAUCUUGCCAUGGUUAUCAUAGCAUCUUCUUGAAAUGAGGUCAGUCUGAGUUAACCUUUAGAGAAUGUCUAGGGCUUGGAUCUACAGAGAAACGUGGGAAAGCAUGCAGGUGUGUUGUUGAGUGGGGUUACAGCAUACCAGAGAAGAAAUGCAAUAACAGUUAUCAAGAAAAAGUCCUGAGUAUAGUUUUUGAUUGCGGGGAGAGAAUGAGUGGAGAGGAGUUUGCAACCUCUAUGUAAAGACCAAGAGGUUUACUGACCUGUACUGCAAGAUAUGCACCUGCCAAGGGAAAGUACCACGUCCCCCUCAUAGUGUAGAUAUCUUGCAUCUAAUAUUUUAUUUUUGACUGGAAAAGGAAAGAGCAAAUCCUGGAUGGGGGUGAAGUAUUAAAAUGAGGUGGACAGCAGCUUUUGAGAUUAAGUAUAUUACCAAUAAGCCUAAUUCAAUCGUUCUCUUUUUUUUUUCAAAAAAAAAAAAAAGAAGAAGAAGAAGAAGAAGAAAAAAGCCAGUAUGAUUGCAUAUUUUUUUAAGACAUAGUUUUUAGAGAGGCUCUUUGGAGAUACUGUGCCAUGUAGAACACUGGACUUGAGGCUCAGCUAUGAACUGGAUAGACGUGAAUAAGUAACCAGGCUUUUCUGAAUCUGUUUCCUCUUUUAAAAAUGGAAACAAUAACAGGUAACCUCCUUGCUCAGAGUCAUCGUGAGGACUGAUUCAGAGUUAUAUUUGUGAAAGUUGUUGUAAGUUAUGUAGUUUUAGAAUAACUGGAGGAUGCUCAUGAAACUACCAAAAGCAACUGCAUUUAAGGAAGAGUAAAGGCUGGGAAUCUAGCCGUGCUAGCUCUAUGGGGAGGAGAAGCACUUUGUCAUUUAAGCUUUCUCAAUGGCUAGAAAGUCAUUCUCAAAUGACUGGUGAAGUAAAUUUUCUGAUUCUUAUUUGAAGCAAAGGUGAAAACAUGUGGCUGUGGAAAUACUCUCCAAUCAAUUAGGAAGAAAAUGUUUGCUAUGAGUAAAUAUAGCUGUUUAUGUUUUAUUGAACACCUAUAUGUAGUGCUGAUUUUCAUAAUUGUCAGCUUUUACAGGAUACUGGCAUUACCAGAGGCAUUGUCCUUCCUUUCUGCUCUGUCUGUUGCCCUUGACCCCUGCUCCACCCACUACACAUACCACUUAGGAAGCAGCUCUUCUCUUAGUGAACUGAGCUGCUCGCACUUCACCAGGAGGCAGGGCCAUGUGCACCAAUACUACUGCUUGAAAAAAAAUCCUUGCAUGGGAAGCUCUCGUUCUUCACAUACAACAGGUUAGUGCUCCAUUUGGUUGAAUUUGAUAAAGCGACAGUCCGAUGGGAGUAGAGCAAUCACCAAGUGGCAAAUCAAACCAUACCUAUGUUCUGCUGAUAGACAGAGGCCAACCUGCCUGGCAAGUGUGCACAGCUUAACCGCUUAACCGUGGUGAGCAGCCAGCAAAGAGAAGGGGUGGGUAGGGAGGGGGCAUUGAUCCAUGAAGGCAACUCCCAGGUCUUAAAGUGAUAACAUUGGAGCUUUUCCACGUUUUAUUCUGUUACUUAUUUCUUCUUUCGGAUUAUAGAUGAUAAUGUCUCUGACAGAAAGAGAUUGCUGUCAAAACUGUAAACUACCCCUUCAUCCCUUGUCUGCGGACUGGAGAUGAUAAUUUUCCUGUUGUUAUUCCACUUGGGGAGUGAGAGAAAUUGUGGCUGUCAUUGUCAUCAUCAUUGUCACCAUGAGACCCACAAUCACCUUCAACUGGUUAUACUGAAUGCUUGUGAUCGCGGGUCUUAGGCCUUAGUGAGUAAGCAUGAACCUAAGGUCCUCCCAGAUAGGACUCCCUCCAUCCCUUCCUUUCUUUCCCUCUCUUUGUCUUCUAAGUCCUUAGAAAUCCGACUACUCCUGGUGGUUUUGCUGAGAGUUAUUUUGCAGGGGUCACAAUAUUCCUUUAUAGCUAUUAGGGUUUAUCUGCCUCACAGUAGCACCUAAGACAUGGGAGGUAUUAUGUCUUCCGCAACGUUGACAGAAGGCCAGUACAGUAUUUCCACUCAAAUAACGAGCACAUUCUGUUUUAGAAUCAAGUUGUGCCUUUGCACAGCAGGGUGACCAGAGACAACGUUAAUGUACUGUGUACUGCAAUAAGCAAAAAUGGAUCCUAAUGUUUUCACCAUAAAGAAAUGAUAAAUGUUUGAGGAGAUAGAUCUGUUUACCCUGAUUUAAACAUUACACAAUGUGUACGUGUACUGAAACAUCACAUGGUACUCCAUAAAUAAGUAUAAUUUCUCUGUUUUUAUGUAUCAUUUAGAAGAAAUAAAUUUAAACAACCAACAAGAAUCUUCAAGUUGUCAUUACAGUCACUUAAGACAAUUUGUUAAAAAUACAGCUAAUUACAUUUCCAGUGUCACUGCAUAUAGAAAACCAGAAUAUUGGAUAUAAUGUUUAUUAUUUCCUCUUACAAAAGGGAAAAACACAAAUUCUUUUAAUUGCAUCUUUAAUAAUAAAAAGAAGCACAGUCAUUACUAGCAGGAGAUGUAUUACUUUCAUGGGGCUCUGCACACCAGCAUUCUUUCCUAUUGCUUCUUUAUUAUAGUCACAGCAUUAAUUAUUAGGGCCUAAUUAGGCAAAAUUACAGUAUUGUCCCUAAUGAAGUCUCUGGAUUCUUAGAAAGCCCCAGCUAUCUUUUUAUAUCAUUCUGAAGUUAGAAUUAGGAAUAAAAGUCAGCCCAGCCUUCAUUUCCAACCCCAGUUCAUCUUUGAAGCACAUAUCAUUUUUCCAGGUUCACUGGCCAAACUUUGGAAGUUUUUUUUUUUUUAAGUUAAUUUUGUUUCCAAACCUCAAUACUAUUACAGAACUAUCCACUAUAAAAGAUUUUGGAGUAGAAAAUAAAGGAGUAUAGAUCCAGAAGGAGACUUAGCAGAUUUUUAUUAGAGAGUCAUUUUUGGAAAUUGAGAGCAGAAAGAUAGGAAUGGAUAUUAACUGUGGAGUGUCUUUUUCUUUCUAUACAGGAAAAGCUGGCCGGAGUGACCGGGAAGCUCCUUCUAUCUUCUUUCUUUCUCUUGUCUAUUUGCCUGUCGACCACUGGGCAUUUGCUUGUUGGAGCAGUCACUCAAGGGGCGCCACCCAAGGCGUAGGCCUGAGUCUGCACCUUGCACCAGGCAAAGGCUCAAGGAGGCUGCCCCACAGCCUCCUAAGGUGAUGUCGCAAGUGGCUUAUGGCCCUUUACCCUAGAGAUAGUCUCUGAUUAGAAAGGGUUAAAAGCUUCUUCUCUUCUGGAAGGCAACGGUCUUGGACAAUGACCUUUCAUUACUACCUUGUAAAUCUAAAAUAUAAAUCUCUCAUGCAGUCAUUUGCCUAUCUCCUUUUCUGGGUUCUUCCAAACCCCCUUUCCCCUCUUCCCAACUGGGGACAUUUUCUUAGGCUCAUUCUAAAUUGCCUGUGCCUCUUUCAUGGAACACUUUCCCCUUGGCGAAUGUGGCCAGGGCUGCAUCUUCAUCCUUUUUCCCUACAUUGAUGUCCUCAGCUCUGGUCUCUACCCAAGUGCUCUGCCUGCCCAUCUCUUCCAGGAUGCAGGCUCCAUGAGGGCAAGGAUUUUGUCUAUAUCUGCAGCUUCUCCUUUUUCUUCCUCUUUCCCUUCUGAUUUGAUCCCCUUACAACCCUCUUUAAUCUGUCUUCUACCCUUGCCCUCCGUGAUGCACCCAAACUGACUUAACAGCUUCCUAAUGAGCUUGUCCAGUCACUGGUCUCACAACUGCUCUGCUAUGAUGUCCUGUAAUGCCUUAUACUUUUUCUUGAUAGAACCACCAUUUUUAAUGCAUGUCAUUAAUUGUUCAAUGCCUCUUUUUCCAUUAGAUUAUAGACUCCAUGAAGUCCGGACUGUAUCUGCUUUGCUCACAGGUGCUAGACAAACAGUAAGCCCUGAACAAAUACUCAUUGAGUAAAUAAUUGGGUAAACUACUUGUGUAACUAUAAUUAAAUGUGUUUUAAUUUAACUAUUUAUUUCUGGUUCUAUAACUCAUAUUAUGUACACCAGUCACACAUUUUAUAAGGCAUAAUGUUCUUUGCAUGGUUUCUCUAGUCAAAAGCUCCAAUGACUCCAUUUUAGUGUUGGAAUUACUAAACUAUUAAAAUACCACACCUGGCUUGUGAGGCAGAACCCACCCAGCACAGAGCCUUUAAGAGUUUCAUCCAGUUGGCAGUCUGUACAAUUAGACAAAGGAGAUCUCAUCUCAUUAGUCAUAGUUCUCUAGAGAAACAGGACCAUAGGAUGUGCGUGUAUGCAAACUCAGUAAAGCAGAAAGCCCCCCCCCCCCAACGUGAGUUUGCUGGUUCAAAUUCUGCUCUUAUCCUGAAAUACCCUCACAGAUACACCCAGAAAUAAUGAUUAAUUUGGGCCUGCCUUGUCCCAGUGAAGUUGACGCAUAAGAUCAACUAUCACAUACCUCUACCCAGAUUAGUCUUAGCUAAUUAAACCACUGAGCUGUCCCAGACUCUGAUCCUGUUCUCCUGGCUUCAAAGCUGAUUUCAGUUCUCUUGUUGAGUUUAUUUUGUCCUCCCCUCUUGACUUAGUGUCCAUCACUGACUCUUUGGUUUUGACAUCAGCAGCCUUCUGAUUUGCAUAUUUUGAAACCAGGCUCUCACAGAGACCACUACACAGUCCAUUCAUGGUGGCCAUCCGAUUUAGCUUGCCCACUCAACUUGGCACAAGUGCUGUCAGGGUUGGAACGACCGUGUUAACUUGCCAUUGCUUUUUGUCAUGUUUUCUCUCCCAGUUGGACUGGAAAGAGUCUUCAUCCAUUCCUGAACCUGUGCUCCCUUCCACUCCCUCUUCACCCCAACACAGCACCUCAUUUGCUUUCCCACAAGAAUCCUCCUGGUCCAGCCUCUUCAUCCAUCUAGGCCAGCCCAUUGGGUGCUCCCUAAGGCUGUCCUUGAUCUAUAUGAUCCACGCUGGUCUCCUGUUCACUGGUCUGUGCUCUUCAUCGGGCACAUGCUGUCUAUCACUGUUCUUUAACCACCUUCCCUGUGUGUGUUCACAAGAUAACUUUACACAUUCUCCUGUGUAAAGUUAUAAACGACCUCUCCUCUCCCGUCCCAUGCUGCAGAGACCACCAUGUGUCGAUAGCAUCCUGUGAUAGACGUGCUUAGGAAGGAGGAUGAACCGUCAGAAUCCAGAUGUAACAUUGGCUCUUGGGAAAGGUGAAAUGGGAGAACCUGCAGUAGGAAAUCAAGGGAGAAUUUCUCUGCUCCAGGAAGAGAUAGGGAAAGGAUGAGAUGCCUUGGGCUUGAGGAAUGUUGAACUAGAAAAGUGAUGUGUGAUAAAUACCUUUUUUAAUAUAAAAAAAAUAAAAUUGGCAUAUAAAAUUGUACAUAUUUAUGGGAUACCAUGUGAUGUUUUGUAUAUGGAUGCAUUGUGCUAUGCUCUAAUCAAGCUCAUCCUGUCAUCUCCUCAAAUAUGCAUCAUUUCCUUGUGAUGAGAAACACAUUAACAUCGUAUAUGGUUACUGUGUUGCACACUGGAACACAAUAGAAAGACUAUUUACCAUGCAACUAGGCCUCUGUAAGCAAUCUGUAAUUGAGACUGAAAAAGAAUAGUUGUCAUGGGCUGGGUAUAUAGCUCAGUUGGUAGAGUGCCUGCCUCACAUGCACAAGGCCCUGGGUUCAAUCCCAAGGACCACAAACAACAACAACAAAUGUCACAAUGCUGGUGUUACAACUUUCUUGUGGUCUGAGUACCAUAUAACAUGAUAACUAAAAACAGUUAUUGUAACUAACCAUGCUGUCAUCUCAGAUAUCUAUGGAAAGUAUUAAAUAAAAUAAUAGUAAAAUGGGACAUGGGAGUAUAUUGCCUGACCCAAGCUUCAUCCUGAUAUAGUAGAUAAGUUAUUUUAAAAAUGAGUGUUUAACUCCAUACAACAUUUUGCAGGGGAAAAACAUUUAAUUUAUUAUCUACUAUCAUACCAUUUAUACAUUUAUAUUUUCAUGUCAAACUAAUCUUCUUUGGAAGUAAAUAAAAACAUUUUUUUUUUAUAAUGAAAGAUUCCUUCUGCAUGCACUACCAGGUCUAGCGACAAUAGAAAACUGAGACCAAGUGUCCCAACAAGUGCCUUGCCUCUGUUCACGGCCUUCAUUUGUUGAAAGUUAACCUCUCCCAUCCUGGUUUCUGGAUGGAGAUGUCAUUGUUUCUCACCCUUAUGUUUGCCUUGUUUAUUCAGCCAGGUGCAGGAACCAGUCUAUUCUUGCUCACUUGGAUUCCUAGCUUUUCAUCUCCUUGGCUCUAAUUGCUCCUGACACAACACUUCUCUGUCUUGACUAGAUUUGGGGAUUUCCUUUCCCAUGUAUUACUCCACAGGCAGCCCUGUAUCCCGUCUGUUGCCCUACACACCCCAUGUCUUACUUUAGAUGUGUCGACUGUAUCAGAGGGAGGACCUCGGGAGUCAGGAUGGACAACUUUGAUGUGGUAAUCUGGAGUUGGUGGUAAAGAAAUGGGUAACUCUCUUGAAAAAGAUGAUCCUGCAACAGGGCAGUUUGAAUCUAAGGGGGCAAUAUGAAAAAAAUAAAUAUGUUUUUCAUUCCGAAGUGAAGUGGAAAAGUUUUCAGAAUAGCAUGAACAAAAGUAAUUUCGUUUUUCAGGUAAUAUAAGGUCAUUGUCCACAUUAGCAGAGAUACUCUGUCAACAUUUGCUUUGUAAUUAAGUAUCCUCUUAAAUUCUGAGUUAUUAUUAUUAUGCAUUUUGGCUGGGAUUGCUAAUGGACCUAAAUAAUCACCUAUAUUGGCUUCAUCUUAUCUUUUUUGGACGCCUGUACAAGCUCAGGUACCUAGAGAUUUAAUUAUAGAGCUCAGCCCUUCUCUGUUAUUUUCAUAGACAGGCCCCUGUAAUCAAGCCGAUCCUUGGCAACUCUUCACUGAAAACUCCUUUGACAUCCAUCAAGUUGCUCUCUUCAUUAAUGCCUUAAUAAGUCUUCAGAAUCAAAGAAUAACUUAAAAAAUAAGCAUCAUUUCAGAGACCAGAGCCAAAAGAGUCCUAAGUGAAAGGAUACUUGACAUGCCAAAAAUAGGAACUAGGAAAAAAAAAAACUAACUGGGAAAAUACAAAAGGGAUCAGUAAAUCCUGAGGGAUUGGAUACAGUGGUGUGGGUUUGGAAUAUGGGAGAUUUAUGUAAAUCAGAAGAUUAUUCUGUAGACUACCCUCUAUGUUUUGGCUAUACUUAUAUUUUGAAACUUUUGGAAAAGCAUUAGAAAAUUUUGAGACACUGUCUCCUUGGGAUGGUUAGAAUCUGAGUUAUUGCAGAAAUUAUCUCAAUAGUAAAAUGUUCUAAUGAUAGUUGAAAUAUAGACUGGCAUUGCUAACACUCUCCACAAGAUCCAGGAUAUUGACUUUUGAAUAGGAUGGUCAGGAAAGAAAGAAUUAUUGAUAAUAUAUUUAAACUCAGUGCUUCUGAGAACAUGAUUUGAGUUUUGUUUAUGUUGCUAAAAUAGAUUAUUUUACUAAAUGAAAACAUUCACCACCCAGAUGAAAGCCAGAUUGAAUUCAGUGAAGCAAGUCAUUGAAAACUUACCAGGUACUUAGUAAAUGUUUUGACUAAUUUUUUUCCCACUUUAUUGCCAACAUCUUGAGAAUACAGGCUUAUAAUUCCUGUACUCACAGGAAUAGAUUCUCACCUAAGAAUCUACCUUCAUCAUCGUUCCCACUUCCUGGAUCACAAAGAGAUUCUUUUGCUGUCUCACGCAUGUACCAGUAUCAUCUCUCGUCCCUGUCUUCAAAGUCCACCUCCUCACUGCUUUUUCCUAUCAACAUGUCACCACUGUAAGGUUUCAUCCAUCUUCAAAUCUCUCUCUUUCUCAAUUAUAUCUUAUCUUUCAUUUCUUGUCCAUUUUUUGCCCAUCUUUUUAUUUUACUUAUUUUUAAAAUUUGGUUUUCACUUGGUUAAGGGCUAAGCUACUCAUCUUUAAUCUCAACACCAUACCUACUUUCUUCUCAAUAUUCCCUCACUCCUCGGCCCCUUUCAAUCUCUGUGUGAUCCCCAACAUUUUAGUGGCAUGAUUCUAAAGUCACUCAUGACCUUCAUGUCACUAAAUUCAGCAAACAUUCUUCCAAUCUAAUCAGAGUGGAUCUCUUAUAAAUGUCGAUCAGUACUUUUCUGAAACAUGUACAUCUCUCUUCUUUCUUGACUUUUCUUUUAUAACUCUGUCUAGCUCUUGAUAACCUCCUAUGGAGGAUCAUCCUUCUUUACUUGCCCGGAAGAUAUUAUUCAUUCCUAGAUGAUAUCUAUCAUAUCUGAGUCUUCAGUUACCAUCUAUGGGUCAAGGAUUCCCAAAUGUUUAUCCCUGCUUCAAAACCCCUUCCUGAGCCCAGGGUAUAAACACACCUGCUGUCUCAUCACUUCCAUUGAGGUGGCAAAGGCUCCUCAAUCCUCAGUGUGGCUCAGUACACUCAUAACUCUGCCCUUGAAGCUUGACUUUCCCUUAGUGUUCCCUGGUAUAGUGAAAGUCACUCACUUGUCCAGGAUAGGAACCUAGAAGCUCUACUCUCAGUCUGUACUGAAUUUACCAUUAAAUCUUGCCAGUUAAAAAUUUAAAAUCUCUGCAAUCCAUUCAUCUCUCUUCAUUUUUAUUUUCUCCACUUUUUUCCAAAUUACUCCAACCUCUUUCCUAGUCUGCUCAGUAUCUUCUUCACUGAACUUUUGCUGUCUCCAAACUCUGGUCAGAGUGAUCUUUUAAAAAUUCAAAAUAGACAUUACUGUUUAGCUUAAAACUCUUCAGUGGGGUCCCUCAAUAGAAGGAUGUUUUUAAUCUGGCUUUAAUAUGACACUAGACUCCUUCUGUCCCAUCCUUCCCUUGAUCUUUGCCCAUAAGGCAUAUUGCUGUUGUCUACAUUUUUCUGUUUAACUCCAGGGCAUCCUUUAGAUUAUUGCUCAAAUAUCACUUGCUUGCAAUUUCUGUCUUUAGAUUCAAUGUCCCCAUUCUAUGCUUCCAGAACACCUUCUGCUUUUGCUUUAGAGGUACUAUUACAGCUUGUAAUAAUGUCUUUAUGUUUGCACACUUAUUGAUACAUGUCUCCCAUUCUGGGAACUUGCACGACUCAUAUUUAUUGAAUAAAGAUUACCGAAACAUGCUCACCAAACCAUGUGUGUGGGCAGGAAAUAAUCUUUCUGUCAGUGGGUGGUGAUGGAGGUAAGAGGCACCAGGGAGAAGAGUCUGGCCUCUGUAGUUUAGGGUAGGAGUGGGCCACGCCUGGUCUUAGUUGAACACCGGGAGUUGCAUAGAAGAAUGACUCUACAUCUAUAAUUACACCAUCUGGAUACAUGCCAGGACCCUUGGUUAGGAAGUCUCUGGGAGAAUGCACAAGUUAAACUUGACACUGGAAGACCAGUCACUCUGUUGCAGCUGGAUCUCUCCCCCUGCUCUGCAGUCAAUGUUUUACCCUUUGCCAGCUCCAGAGAUCCACUUUGCAGUCAGUUUAUAUCUCAUACUUGGGACCGUUCUCUUGACACUCAUCUUGAAGUGACUGAUUGCAAAUUACAAGUCCCCAAAGGCCCUUCAAAUUUAGGAUAAAACAAUUGGGCAUAAUUCAAGAUGAUUAAGUGGUAAGGAAAGUAAGUAUUCAUAGGCUGUGAGAGCUGAAAGACAGUAUUUAGUCCAAUGACAUCCAUUUUUAGAUGAGGACAUUGAGGCCUAGAAUGGUUAAGUAAUGUUUCUAAGGUUCACACAGUGAGCUUUUGGAGCAGGUAGGUAGGUCUGGAAUAUGCAUCUCCUGGCUUUACCUACUAACGGUGCUAGUCUUUACACCCAACCUGAAAAGCUUCAGAGUCUAAUCAAGUUAUGAAAUAUGCCUAAUGUUUGGAAUUUGGUCCUGAACAACAAAAAGAAAAAAGAAACCCUGAGAAAAGUUAUUAAAUCACAUCCAUUAAUGUCUACUUAUAAUUAUAAUUACUUGUCAGCUUGAAAGAUACUAUCUUGCUUCUUUAAAGUCAUUGUCAUGGGUAAUGCACAUAAGUUCUACAAGAUCCUCAUGCAUUUGUCUGUAUUUUGCAUUUGGUAGAGGAAAGCACUCUAUUGCUAGCUACCCCCCUGACCCUUAUGUCUUGCAUGUGAAAAGAAUGAAUCAGAUUUGGUAAAUCUCUUUCCUAACAAAUACAUGGACUUUUAUGUAAGUUCAAAAAUAUUUGUCUUUUAUAGUUUAAGUGAGUGCUCCCUUAAUUCAUAAAAUUGCUAAUCUUCUUCUUGGAGGUGAGCCCAUACUGAACAGGUGACAACAGGUGACUUGGAGACACAUGUGUAAGACGAGGACAACUAGUAUUUCUAAUCUAACCUAACUAGACCAGGGGUCGUGACCACCUACUACUAGAAGUAGUUUUUCCUCUGUGGGAGGUGGGUUCUAAGAUGGGCCUGGUAAUCCCUUUCUCCUGGUAUUCAUUCCCUCUGUGAUCCUUGGACCUGCAUGUGGGAUGGAGAGACCUGCAACUUGCUUCUGACUAAUAAAAUACAGCAAAAGUGACAGGACUUCUCUUCCAUGAUUACGUCACGUAACAUUUUGAUUUCUGGUUUUCUAGCAGAUUCUUUCUUUUGAUGGCUUUGUGGAAACAAGCUACCAUGUUGUGAGCCCAGUGGUAAGGAACUGAGGGUAAUCUCUGGCCAACAGCUGGAAAAAAAUCAAGGCCCACAGUUACAGCCGUCCAGGAACCAAACUCUGCCAACAGCCAUCUGAGCAUGGAGCAGAUCUCCUUCCAGUCUGGCCUCCAGGUGAGCCCCCAGCCCUAGCUGAAAUCUUGACUGCAGUUGUGUUGCACAUUCUGAGCAAAGAACCCAUCUAUGCUGGCCUGGAUUCCUGACUCUCGGAGCCUGUGAGAUAGUAAAUGUGUUGCUGUAAGUGGUAGUAUUUCACCCAGCAAUAAAAAAUGAGUACAGUUUUUUUUUUUUUGCCAUCAUUGAUGUAUCCUAGUUUUUGAUAACCACAUAAUAAAAAACUAGAGUUACUUACACACACACACACACACACACACACACCCCUAAAGGAUCUCUACUGGCUGCCUGUUUCCUACAAGACCAAACAUGAGCAUAUAAUGUCUUUCCUGAGUAUUUAUUGCCUACAUUUCUAGCUUUUUCUCCCAUCCUUUCCAUUACUUCGCCUGCACACCCCCCCGACACAACCUUCUCUCUUUCUCUCACUGUUCCCUUGAUGCUCACCACUUACGAUCUUUACAUAAGUGUCUCCCUCUCUGUGGAAUCCCUUCAUUUUGUCCUUGCAAACUCUCCUUUAUCUUUUAAGGUUCAUCUUAGUCCUUCCUUCUUUAUAGGUGUAGCAGUCAGCUUUUCAUCACUGUGACCAAAAUACUGACCAGAACAACUUCAAGUUUUAUUUAGAGGAAAGGUUUAUGUAAGGGUCAUGGUUUUAGAGGUUCAGUUUACAGUUGACCCAUUCCAUAGCUCUGGGCAUGAGGUGAGGCAGAGCAUGGCAGAAGGGCUUGGUGGAUGAAAGCAUCUCAGCUCAGGGCAGGCAGCCAGGAAACAGAGUGAGAGAGGGAGCAAGGGGCCAGGGUACUUCCUAUGUCCUCUAGCCAUGACCCACCUGACUGUUGUUACCAUGCAGUAAUCUGUUCAAAUUAUUAAUCCCCCAAGUGGAUUAAUCCACAUCCACUGAUUAAGUUAUAGCUGUCAUGAUUUAAUCAUUUUACCUCUGAAUGUCCUAUAUUGCUUAACAUGAGCUUCUCAGGGGACAUCUCAUGCCCCACCAUAACAACUCCCAACCAUUCCCAUAGCAUUUUAUUCACAUACAUUAUGCCGUCGUCACCUUGUAUUACAAUUUAUAUAGGUGGCAGAGUGGUCUUUGAUAUUAGUUUGGAUUUUGCUCUCCAAACUGUCUCCUUUGUGCUCUUUUCAAGUAGGUUGCUUUACUGUCAUCAUUUCGUUGCUUGGCUAUUUUUUCAUGUUGGAAAAAAAAGUAGAAGAUUUUUACAGCUAGCUGAUUUUCCUGUUUGUUUUUAUUUGGAAACAGACAUAUUGAAUAGAUGGUACUACAUAUGUAGAGGAAAAAAGGAAGAAGGACGAGAGUCUCUGAGAGUAAUGAAGGAGAGAAUUCCUUCAGGUGGAGAGAGGCAGGACUCCACUGCAGUGCUCCAGGAAAGAGAAGUGUACCAGGGGAGACAGAAGGCUUAGGUCCCAUCCUGAAGAUGGGGUUUAGCCACAGGACUCUGACCACCUGAAGACUCCCAUGGCUCAGGUGGAUUAGAGACAACACUGGUAGUGACCAAACCAUUGGUGUGCUAUUGAGACUUCUGCAUGUCAACAACCCAUGACAGGAGAGCUCUC
This 16350-nucleotide long non-coding RNA is filed under the name Marmota monax (woodchuck). The stretch from base 9650 to 9718 matches the Rfam family "tRNA". The record is from RNAcentral. Lineage: Eukaryota; Metazoa; Chordata; Mammalia; Rodentia; Sciuridae.